GAUGAACGCUGGCGGCGUGCCUAAUACAUGCAAGUCGAGCGAACAGAUAGGGAGCUUGCUCCUUUGACGUUAGCGGCGGACGGGUGAGUAACACGUGGAUAACCUACCUAUAAGACUGGGAUAACUUCGGGAAACCGGAGCUAAUACCGGAUAACAUAUUGAACCGCAUGGUUCAAUAGUGAAAGGCGGCUUUGCUGUCCCUUAUAGAUGGAUCCGCGCCGUAUUAGCUAGUUGGUAAGGUAACGGCUUACCAAGGCAACGAUACGUAGCCGACCUGAGAGGGUGAUCGGCCACCCUGGAACUGAGACACGGUCCAGACUCCUACGGGAGGCAGCAGUAGGGAAUCUUCCGCAAUGGGCGAAAGCCUGACGGAGCAACGCCGCGUGAGUGAUGAAGGUCUUCGGAUCGUAAAACUCUGUUAUCAGGGAAGAACAAAUGUGUAAGUAACUGUGCACAUCUUGACGGUACCUGAUCAGAAAGCCACGGCUAACUACGUGCCAGCAGCCGCGGUAA
RNAcentral lists this ribosomal RNA (513 nucleotides) under uncultured bacterium. RNAcentral's name for it is "partial 16S ribosomal RNA". It matches the Rfam family "Bacterial small subunit ribosomal RNA", at positions 28 to 523 of the family's 1533-position model. The record is from RNAcentral.